This 256-nucleotide ribosomal RNA is filed under the name unidentified marine bacterioplankton. RNAcentral's name for it is "partial 16S ribosomal RNA". It matches the Rfam family "Bacterial small subunit ribosomal RNA", at positions 69 to 339 of the family's 1533-position model. The record is from RNAcentral.
AGAGAUAUAGCUUGCUAUAUCUCUUGAGAGCGGCGAACGGGUGAGUAACACGUUGGUAUCUGCCCCCAAGUCAGGGAUAGCCAUUGGAAACGAUGAUUAAUACCGGAUAGUCUCUUCGGAGUAAAAAUUUAUUGCUUGGGGAGGAGCCUGCGUUCUAUCAGCUAGUUGGUGAGGUAAUAGCUCACCAAGGCUAUGACGGAUAACUGGUCUGAGAGGAUGACCAGUCACAAUGAAACUGAGACACGGUUCAUACUCC